AAACUAAGGGAACAUGUUAAUGAUGCAUUGGUUAUUAAUUAUCUACAAGGAUUAAACCUAGAAAGGAUUAAAAUUCUAAUGAACAUGUUAAACAUGAUUAUUCUCAAUUAGUUCCAAAAAUUAAGAAAACAAUUAUGUCAAUUAUUCUAAAAACUAAGAACUAUUAUAUCAUCAAUUAAAAAAAUAUAUGAAAAAAAUGUUAUUCUCUAAUAAUAAAAAAAUAAAUGAAAAUAACAAAAUAAAAGAUAUUAAAAACAUGGGGUAUAUUGAAAAAUAUAGGAUGCAGGAAAGAAUUGGGUGCAUAGCCCAUGUAUUGAGCUCAUUUGCUAAUCAACUUUGUGAACAGGGAGGUGUAUGAUGAGUACAAGGUGCAAACAACAAAAAAACUUGGGAUGGAAUUAAGAGGGCAAAAGAGACAUAACUUAAACUUGAGCACGCGAUUCACGUGUUAAACGCCUUCCACAUGUAUCCAAGUUGAGUCAAAUGUCCAUCACUGACCUCUCCCUUUCCACCGUGCUGAAGCUCACCACCAACGUCAAUAUAUAAUCAAACGUCACAAUCGAAAAUGCCAUAUCACUCCAAGUUCCGAGCUCUAACCAAAUCCAUCACUAGUUUCAUCUGAAUCCUCAUAAAUUUCCCAAAUUGUGCAAAAUAAAUGAUGAACCAUAACCACAAGAAUUUAAAUUAAAUGCUUAAUCAGAGGAAUCAAAGUCCCUAAGGUUAAGGCUUUGAUUCCUUGGAUCCAUACACUACAUGGUGGUAACUAGAACUAAGUUUAAAGGUGAAGAAAUGGCACCUACCUGCGGGAGAUGAAAGCCUGAGAUCGGAGUAAAUAAAGAUGUUAAGCAAGCUUUUAGGUACAAAUAUUCUUUGCUUAAACUUUUUCUUCUUCUCUUGCACCCUUUCUUUAUUCUUCUUCCCUCAGAUAUAUUAUGAAUCUCCUUCUUCUUCUACGCGUGCUCUGUGAGAGUGAGAGAGAUUGUGUAAUGUCAGAUUGAAUGAAGUGUUUUACGUGUGACUGAGAGAGAGUUGAGAUUGAGAGAAUGAGAAUUUCAAUUUCUGAGAAAAAUGAAAGGUUAGGUGAAACUGGAAGAAUGGAUCUCAAUUUAUAGGAGAGACUCUCUCUCUCUCUCUCUCUCUCUCUCUCUCUCUCUCUCUCUCUCUCUCAGAGAGAGAGAGAGUUAACAUAUCAAACUCUAUUAAUUGAUCAAAAUGAAAAAGUUAUUAGAGGUUAAUUUAAUUUGUUAGUCCUUGAGGACUGUGAUUCAGUUAGGGGUUAUUUUCUGUUAAACUCGAUUUUGAAGCUGUUAGUUAAGUUUUCAAAUGUUAGUUAAAUUUGAGUUCAAUUAAUGAUAGUUAGUGAAGUUGUUAGUUAUGACUGGUUGAUGCAGGAAACUUAUUGAACUGGAGUUAUAUGGAAAGGAUAUGGGUUGCAAAAAGGUGAUGGCAUGCCAAACGAGUUUUGGUUCAAAUGCAGGUCGUGUUGGUUUGAUCAGUUGCUUGGCAAACAUGGUGAUGACCUGUUGAUGUAGGUUGCAGGUAAAAUGCCAAUAAGUUCCGUUUGACUGAUUGGCAAAUUACAGGCUUGUAUGAUGCAGAUGAUGACCUAUUGAUGCAGGUUUUGAUGUAUUGUUGCAGAUUUGGGGUUGAUUGGCAAAUUGCAAGUGUAUGUUUGAGUUGUUUUGAUCAGUGCAAAUUGCUUAAUUUGCAGGUUAUACGUUAUGGGAUUGACAACUAAGAAUCCAUCAUAAAGACCUGCUUGAAAGGUAAAAACCUAUUAUCUUCUACACAUGAAUUGAUUUAUAUAUGGUUUUGUGUAAUGCCUCAUGUUACCAUGUUGAUAUUGGUUGGUACCCUCUUGCUGAAGUGAAUGUAUGCCUACCUAAUUGAAAUUUGCAUUGCUUGUCUAUUGCAUCAUGCUUGUUUGGAUGAAAUGCAUUUACAUGGUGUAUGUUUGUUAGGACAAAUGUGAAUGAUGUAUUAUGUAUAUGCCUUAAAUCAUGUGUGUAUAAUGUAUGUUUUUUGAUUGAAUUGUUAAAUGUUAAGUGCAGGGUUGGCAUGUGAACAUGACUUCAAGGUAUCGCAAGACAUGGCAAUUUGAAUGUCAAAAACAAGGCUUAGCACAAAGAUGGUUUUCUUGCUCAUGAAGGAAUUUGGUAAUAGAAUCACAUGGAAACAUGGGAAGUGAUAUGUAUUUCAAGUAGGCAUUAGGGUUAGGUCAUUAGAAUAUGUCAGUUGAAUUUGGCCAACUGCUUGACCAAAAAGUCAACAGUUGACCAAAAGUCAAAUGUAGGUCAACUCUAUAUUUUUUUUGUAUUUUUAUUGCAUGGAUAAUGUAAAUGAUAAUUGAAUGAGUGAAUAGACAUUAUUGGAUGAAAUGAUUUAAAGAACCAUGCCUUAUUUUCCUAUUUAUGACCUUGCCUUCAAAAA
Molecule: long non-coding RNA, 2430 nt
Filed under: Lathyrus oleraceus (garden pea)
Lineage: Eukaryota; Viridiplantae; Streptophyta; Magnoliopsida; Fabales; Fabaceae
Description: Pisum sativum (pea) long non-coding RNA (PSAT_LNC010176)
Source: RNAcentral